AAUAUGACUACUUUUUCUAAGGUUCAUACUCCUCAGUUCACUCCAGGGUAAACUUUCGGAACAAACUAAACCAACAUUUUUGUACUCACUCAGGAUCCCAUAUUCGCAAAUCAGGAUUUAAAAAAUGGCGCGUCUCUUAAUCCCCAUUUUCCUCUUGGCUGUCCUCCUACCUACAAGUUUCUGUCAGUCGCUACUUUCGAGUGGAGAUGAUGGUCAGCCAUGCGGACUAUUAGGUCUGCCAUUGCCCCUCACUGUUUGCAUCGAGACUGCUGGGCCUUGUCCAACUUCAUCGGCUAUUUUGGGCACCUGUAACGCCGGGUAUCACUGCUGCGCUUCUAACAUCCUACGUAAAUCGGAAGAAAAUAGUACAUCUAUUGUGCCUUAAGUAUUUAAAUUU
Molecule: long non-coding RNA, 397 nt
Organism: Folsomia candida
Lineage: Eukaryota; Metazoa; Arthropoda; Collembola; Entomobryomorpha; Isotomidae
Exons: 3
Source: RefSeq, a predicted model, not a curated record